Long non-coding RNA from Spodoptera frugiperda (fall armyworm), 744 nucleotides. RefSeq lists it as uncharacterized. The transcript is spliced from 2 exons. The record is from RefSeq and is a predicted model, not a curated record. NCBI's taxonomy places the organism in Eukaryota, Metazoa, Arthropoda, Insecta, Lepidoptera, Noctuidae.
AAAAGUCCAUAAUGACCGUUCUGUGCAAACGCAGCUUUAUCUACGAUUUUUAUAUAAACCUUUUUACCUCCCCUAUUACAGACUGGCCGAAUACAAAUUUCAAAUAAAUGUCAAAUAUUGUGGAAUAGAAGUCAAUAACGUAAAAAGAUGUCAAAUCAGGUCAGUUUUUAUAAAUCUAUCGUGUAGUUAACAGUAAACUUAAAAAUUAAGAAAAAAAAGUAGAAAAUACGCAUAAAGUCCUAAAAACAGUAUCUUCUAAGAAAAAUAUUUUACAAAUAUUUUAAACAGACAAUCUUUUGGACUACACAAUAUUAUUAUCAAUUGAUAAAACAUCAUCACCGACGGUGAAACCUUACCCAUUUCCUUUUGCAAUAGAUAAUUUGAACUACUGACGAAAAUGUGUGGUGGUUGCGGUGGAUGCGGUGGCUGCGGCCCUUGCGGCGGGUGCUGCGGCGGCUGCGGGCCGUGCUGCGGCGGCUGCUGCGGCGGCUGCUGCGGGCCGUGCUGCGGCGGCUGCUGCGGUGGAUGCUGCGGCUGCGGCUGUCCAAAGAUCACGAUCCACACCCGUUGUACGAAGAUCUGUUAAUUGUGAGGGACUGUGAGCAAACGAGCAACUACGUCAACACUACGAUACGACGUCAAGUCGUAGUGUUGGCCGAGUACCGUACUGCGUCUUACUCGUGCCGUCUACACAUUUGUGCUGUCAACUCAGUGAUGUUCAAAUAUAAUUUGGUUAAUUUACAA